GUCCUGCGGGGGGCAGCAGUGAGGAAUAUUGGUCAAUGGUCGGGAGACUGAACCAGCCAAGCCGCGUGAGGGAGGAAGGUACAGAGUAUCGUAAACCUCUUUUGUCAGGGAACAAAGACUGGGACGCGUCCCCGGAUGAGUGUACCUGAAGAAAAAGCAUCGGCUAACUCCGUGCCAGCAGCCGCGGUAAUACGGAGGAUGCGAGCGUUAUCCGGAUUUACUGGGUGUAAAGGGAGCGUAGACGGCAGGGCAAGCCUGGAGUGAAAGGCAGGGGCCCAACCCCUGGACUGCUCUGGAAACUGUCC
RNAcentral lists this ribosomal RNA (305 nucleotides) under uncultured bacterium. Its description in RNAcentral is "bacterial SSU rRNA". It matches the Rfam family "Bacterial small subunit ribosomal RNA", at positions 335 to 638 of the family's 1533-position model. The record is from RNAcentral.